UACGGGGGGGGCAAGCGUUGUUCGGAAUUACUGGGCGUAAAGGGUUCGUAGGUGGCCAACUAAGUCAGACGUGAAAUCCCUCAGCUUAACUGGGGAACUGCGUCUGAUACUGGUUGGCUUGAGUGCAGGAGAGGAACGCGGAAUUCCAGGUGUAGCGGUGAAAUGCGUAGAUAUCUGGAGGAACACCGGUGGCGAAGGCGGCGUUCUGGACUGCAACUGACACUGAGAAACGAAAGCCAGGGGAGCAAACGGG
RNAcentral lists this ribosomal RNA (253 nucleotides) under uncultured bacterium. Its description in RNAcentral is "partial 16S ribosomal RNA". It matches the Rfam family "Bacterial small subunit ribosomal RNA", at positions 524 to 776 of the family's 1533-position model. The record is from RNAcentral.